UUUGCCAAGAAUGUUCCCGUUAAUCAAGAACGAAAGUUAGAGGUUCGAAGGCGAUCAGAUACCGCCCUAGUUCUAACCAUAAACGAUGCCAGCCAGCGAUCCGCCGAAGUUCCUCCGAUGACUCGGCGGGCAGCUUCCGGGAAACCAAAGCUUUUGGGUUCCGGGGGAAGUAUGGUUGCAAAGCUGAAACUUAAAGGAAUUGACGGAAGGGCACCACCAGGAGUGGAGCCUGCGGCUUAAUUUGACUCAACACGGGAAACCUCACCAGGCCCGGACACCGGAAGGAUUGACAGAUUGAGAGCUCUUUCUUGAUUCGGUGGGUGGUGGUGCAUGGCCGUUCUUAGUUGGUGGAGCGAUUUGUCUGGUUAAUUCCGGUAACGAACGAGACUCUAGCCUGCUAAAUAGACGAUUUCCGGUAUCCACAAUAGUGCUACCGGCGAAAUCAAUAUCUUCUUAGAGGGACAGGCGGCUUUCAGCCGCACGAAACUGAGCAAUAACAGGUCUGUGAUGCCCUUAGAUGUCCUGGGCCGCACGCGCGCUACACUGAAGGAAUCAGCGUGUAUACCCUGGCCGAAAGGCUCGGGCAACCCGUUGAACCUCCUUCGUGCUAGGGAUUGGGGCUUGCAAUUGUUCCCCAUGAACGAGGAAUUCCCAGUAAGCGCGAGUCAUAAGCUCGCGUUGAUUACGUCCCUGCCCUUUGUACACACCGCCCGUCGCUACUACCGAUUGAAUGAUUUAGUGAGGUCUUCGGACUGGUGCGCGGCGGCCGCAUCCGCGGCCGCCGAUGCCACCGGGAAGAUGACC
This 804-nucleotide ribosomal RNA is filed under the name Allobroma kedenburgi. RNAcentral's name for it is "SSU rRNA". It matches the Rfam family "Eukaryotic small subunit ribosomal RNA", at positions 954 to 1760 of the family's 1831-position model. Lineage: Eukaryota; Metazoa; Arthropoda; Insecta; Hemiptera; Cicadidae. The record is from RNAcentral.